GUCUCUGCGAUUGCCAACAACAAUUCCAUUAAAACGACGAUUCACAAAUCCGAAGACGCCAAUCCCUUGAGCGAAAAGAAAAAAGAAGCAAGGCACAUAGAGCGAAUCCAUGAGAAAAUGCUUGCAGCAGCAACAAAAUCAAGAGUUAUAGCCAUUAUUCACCACGUGCGCACGUUAGCUUUGGCCGCCAGUUCUUUCGCUUUCAGAUCGCCAUGUCCAGAUUUUUGAUGUUUGGAAAUAUAAAGAGAGUUGCAAGGUCGAUCAUUUUGAGCCAGAAAAAUAGCCAAUCUGAAUUGAGGAAGUAUGGGGCGGUAGUUACAGUUGGCUUACAUUUACCCCAUUACAGAUUCUAUGCACAUCAUAGAUUUCCUAGUAGAGGGCAUUCGUCUAUUGGAUUCUGUGGUGUCAAGGAUGAUGUAUGCCGGAAUUAUUUUUCUAGGAAGUACUCUAUUGUGUCGGCAAGUAAUGCAGUAACACAUCAUGCCCAACUUGCUUGGAAAAGGGUUUUCAGAAAAGGUUCUGCCAGUGACCAUACUUUCCCCAACAUAAGCAAGAUUGCUCAAGCAAUCAGCUUGGCUUUGACACGAUCACACCUAGUUGUCCCUGGUGUGUUUGCAAUCACUUGUGGGCAGGUGGCAUGGGCACAGAGAACACUGGCAGAAACAGACUACUACCCAUUACCAAAUUCUUUGUACAUGCGUGCCCAAGAUGGGCGUGCUUAUGUAUUCUCAUUGGUGCUAGCCAUUGUGGAAGGUUUUGUUUUGCUAGUGAGAGCUCUCUAUUUGGGAAUUUUGUUCUCACCUAGCUUAAUAAUGGCACCAUUUGCGGAUUCUUGUGGACCAAAAUUUAGGAAAAUGUGGCUUCAGGUUGUUCAUCGCACCCUGGAAAAAGCAGGUCCAGCAUUCAUAAAAUGGGGUCAAUGGGCAGCAACGCGGCCAGAUUUAUUUGCUAGAGAUUUGUGCACAAAACUUUCAGAGCUACACACCAAAGCUCCUGAACAUAGCUUUGCUUACACAAGAAAAACUAUUGAAAGAGCAUUUGGCCGGAAGCUUUCUGAGAUUUUUGAGGGUUUUGAAGAGGUGCCUGUUGCAUCUGGAAGUAUUGCUCAAGUGCAUCGAGCCUCUUUGAGGUUUCGGUACCCUGGUCAAAAACUGGCAAAGCCUACAAUAGUUGCUGUGAAAGUCAGGCAUCCUGGCGUUGGUGAAUCAAUUAGGAGAGAUUUUGAGAUAAUCAACUUAGUAGCUAAAAUGUCAAAGUUCAUUCCUACUUUGAACUGGUUGAGGUUGGAUGAGAGCGUCCAGCAGUUUGCGGUUUUCAUGAUGUCUCAAGUUGACCUUGCUAGGGAAGCUGCACAUUUGAGCCGCUUUAUUUAUAAUUUCCGAAGAUGGAAGGAUGUUUCUUUUCCAAAGCCUGUAUACCCGCUUGUGCAUCCUGCUGUUUUGGUGGAAACCUAUGAGCAAGGGGAAUGUGUCUCACACUAUGUUGACGAAAUUGAAGGACACAAUCGGAUUAAAUCUGCACUUGCUCACAUUGGGACUCAUGCACUUCUGAAAAUGCUUUUGGUUGACAACUUUAUUCAUGCAGACAUGCAUCCUGGAAAUAUCCUUGUUCGGGUGUCUGAAAAGAAGUCUUCUCGGAAAGGGCUCUUUAAAUCAAAGCCCCAUGUCAUUUUCCUUGAUGUGGGUAUGACUGCUGAACUUUCCAAGAGUGAUCAAGUAAAUUUAAUUGAGUUUUUUAAGGCUGUAGCCCUUCGAGAUGGCCGCACUGCAGCAGAGUGCACACUGAGAUUAUCAAAGCAACAAAAUUGCCCAGAUCCAAAAGCUUUUAUUGAGGUAAGAUAAACAGCACUCAGCAUCUUUACUGGGAUUGAUUAUGUUAAGACUGCAAUGAGUUUCCUCUCUAUUAGAAUGGUUGGACUUUAUGUUAGUUUGCUUGGUGUAAACAAACUUACAGUUGACUAUUAGAGGAUAAAAUAUGGUCUCUUAUGUGGUGAUAGACUGGGAAGGGCUUCAUUGGGGUCUUCAGCUUGAACUUAAUAAGCAAAUAUUAUUAUAUCAUGAAUUUAAGAUAUUAGUGUUGUUGGGUAAUUUCAAAUGUAUUCAAGUCUUUGUUUUUUUAUUUUCUGAAAUGGGUGAAGUCCUUAAUACAUAUUCAAUUAAUGCUUUCAACUUUUUGCAUAUUAAGUGGACUAUUACAGUCACAUAAUAAAGUCUUGAGCAUUGGAAUAUUUUCUCCCUUGUGUUUGUGUUUAUCUUCUUCACUGCAUAAUUUUCUGGCUUCAAUCUUGGAUGUGUUGUUCUGAGUAACAGGAAGUGGAAGAGGCAUUCACCUUUUGGGGUACUCCAGAGGGUGAUCUAAUUCAUCCUGCGGAGUGCAUGCAAGAAUUACUUGAGAAAGUCAGGCAUCAUAAAGUCAACAUUGAUGGCAAUGUUUGCACCGUGAUGGUCACAACUUUAGUUCUUGAGGGCUGGCAGCGGAAGCUGGAUCCUGGAUACAAUGUAAUGCACACAUUACAAACACUGCUUCUCCGAGCUGACUGGGCGAAGUCUCUUUCGUACACAAUUGAUGGGCUGAUGGCACCAUGAGAAGUGGCGAAGGUUGACAAGACAGGACAUCAGUAGACUGGUACUGAUUAUUUUAGAGUGAUCUUGAUGCCCAUUCUCAAGUGUUUAGGUAUUUUUUUUUUGGCUGGAACUCUUUUGAAUUCUUUACUGUUGAAUUGUAUCAAAAUGGAGAAGAGAGGCAUCCAUAGGUGGUUGCUUAGUUGAGCAUUUAGAGAAAUUGCUGCUAUGAGCACCACUGAAUUGCAAUUACAAAGAAGAAUUGCUAUUCUAACUGAUUUGAUGGCGGCUGGUAUUAUUGCGACCUUAUCUAUUCCAACAUAAUGAGAUCCACUGGAUUCAUCCACGAACAAGCAAGAAAGGAGCUUGUACUGUGAAUUUUAUGUUCCAGGAUUUAUAGAUAUGACAUUUUGCGCGGCAGAUAAACUUGGUUGGACUUUUAAUUUGAUUGCUUCAUAUGAUAAAUGAUAAUGAAUUUUACUUAAUGGUUGCCUGGA
Molecule: unclassified non-coding RNA, 3058 nt
Filed under: Hevea brasiliensis (rubber tree)
Lineage: Eukaryota; Viridiplantae; Streptophyta; Magnoliopsida; Malpighiales; Euphorbiaceae
Source: RNAcentral